GACGAACGCUGGCGGCGUGCUUAACACAUGCAAGUCGAACGGAAAGGCCCUGCUUUUGUGGGGUGCUCGAGUGGCGAACGGGUGAGUAACACGUGAGUAACCUGCCCUUGACUUUGGGAUAACUUCAGGAAACUGGGGCUAAUACCGGAUAGGAGCUCCUGCUGCAUGGUGGGGGUUGGAAAGUUUCGGCGGUUGGGGAUGGACUCGCGGCUUAUCAGCUUGUUGGUGGGGUAGUGGCUUACCAAGGCUUUGACGGGUAGCCGGCCUGAGAGGGUGACCGGCCACAUGGGGACUGAGAUACGGACCAGACUCCUACGGGAGGCAGCAGGGGGGAAUAUGGCACAAUGGGCGGAAGCCUGAUGCAGCAACGCCGCGUGCGGGAUGACGGCCUUCGGGUUGUAAACCGCUUUCGCCUGUGACGAAGCGUGAGUGACGGUAAUGGGUAAAGAAGCACCGGCUAACUACGUG
RNAcentral lists this ribosomal RNA (468 nucleotides) under uncultured bacterium. RNAcentral describes it as "partial 16S ribosomal RNA". It matches the Rfam family "Bacterial small subunit ribosomal RNA", at positions 28 to 507 of the family's 1533-position model. The record is from RNAcentral.